RNAcentral lists this ribosomal RNA (442 nucleotides) under uncultured bacterium. Its description in RNAcentral is "partial 16S ribosomal RNA". It matches the Rfam family "Bacterial small subunit ribosomal RNA", at positions 338 to 795 of the family's 1533-position model. The record is from RNAcentral.
CCUACGGGUGGCAGCAGUGGGGAAUAUUGGUCAAUGGGCGAAAGCCUGAUCCAGCAACUCCGCGUGAAGGAAGAAGUCUUUCUGUUUGUAAAACUCUUUUAACAGGGAAGAACAUAACACUCUACCUGUCGAAUAAGCCACGUCUAUCUAUGUGCCACCAGCUGCUGUAAGACGGAGGUCGCAAGCUUUCUACGGAUUUAUUGGGUGUAAAGGGCGUGAAGACGGGAUAACAAGUAAGAUGUGAAAUCCCGGGGCUCAACCCCGGAACUUCUGUGGACACUGUUGGUCUUGAGUAUUGGAGAGGCAGGUGGAAUUCCUAGUGUAGCGGUGAAAUGCGUAGAUAUUAGGAGGAACACCAGUGGCGAAGGCGGCUUUCUGGACUGCAACUGACGGUGAGGCGCGAAAGCGUGGGGAGCAAACAGGAUUAGAUACCCUUGUAGUC